RNAcentral lists this ribosomal RNA (446 nucleotides) under uncultured bacterium. RNAcentral's name for it is "bacterial SSU rRNA". It matches the Rfam family "Bacterial small subunit ribosomal RNA", at positions 329 to 792 of the family's 1533-position model. The record is from RNAcentral.
UCCCAGACUCCUACGGGAGGCAGCAGUGGGGAAUACUGCACAAUGGGGGGAACCCUGAUGCAGCGACGCCGCGUGGGUGAAGGAGCACCUCGGUGCGUAAAGCCCUAUCGGCAGGGAAGAAACAGACGGUACCUGACUAAGAAGCCCCGGCUAACUACGUGCCAGCAGCCGCGGUAAUACGUAGGGGGCAAGCGUUAUCCGGAUUUACUGGGUGUAAAGGGGGCGCAGACGGCGAUGCAAGCCAGGAGUGAAAGCCCGGGGCCCAACCCCGGGACUGCUCUUGGAACUGCGUGGCUGGAGUGCAGGAGGGGCAGGCGGAAUUCCUGGUGUAGCGGUGAAAUGCGUAGAUAUCAGGAGGAACACCGGUGGCGAAGGCGGCCUGCUGGACUACAACUGACGUUGAGGCCCGAAAGCGUGGGGAGCAAACAGGAUUAGAUACCCUUGUA